This 67-nucleotide small RNA is filed under the name Salmonella enterica subsp. enterica serovar Itami str. SA20014991. Its description in RNAcentral is "sX9". The record is from RNAcentral. Lineage: Bacteria; Pseudomonadati; Pseudomonadota; Gammaproteobacteria; Enterobacterales; Enterobacteriaceae.
ACGUACUACGUGUACGCUCCGGUUCUUCCGCGCUGUCCGUGUCCAAACUGCCUGCAACAAUUACACC